GGUGUAGCUCAGUUGGUAGAGCGCUUGUUUCCCAUGCACAAGGCCCUGGGUUCAAUCCCCAGCACC
This 66-nucleotide transfer RNA is filed under the name Ictidomys tridecemlineatus (thirteen-lined ground squirrel). RNAcentral describes it as "Spermophilus tridecemlineatus (thirteen-lined ground squirrel) tRNA". It matches the Rfam family "tRNA". Rfam says of the family: Transfer RNA (tRNA) molecules are approximately 80 nucleotides in length. Their secondary structure includes four short double-helical elements and three loops (D, anti-codon, and T loops). Further hydrogen bonds mediate the characteristic L-shaped molecular structure. tRNAs have two regions of fundamental functional importance: the anti-codon, which is responsible for specific mRNA codon recognition, and the 3' end, to which the tRNAs corresponding amino acid is attached (by aminoacyl-tRNA synthetases). tRNAs cope with the degeneracy of the genetic code in two manners: having more than one tRNA (with a specific anti-codon) for a particular amino acid; and 'wobble' base-pairing, i.e. permitting non-standard base-pairing at the 3rd anti-codon position. Lineage: Eukaryota; Metazoa; Chordata; Mammalia; Rodentia; Sciuridae. The record is from Rfam by way of RNAcentral.